AUUGAACGCUGGCGGCGUGCUUAACACAUGCAAGUCGAACGUGAAAGUCCUUCGGGAUGAGUAAAGUGGCGCACGGGUGAGUAACGCGUGGCUAAUCUACCUUUAAGACGGGGAUAACGGUUGGAAACGAUCGCUAAUACCGGAUACGCUCCCUAUUUUAUCGUGAGGGGGCAAGAUGGCCUCUGCUUGCAAGCUAUCGCUUAAAGCUGAGUCCGCGUCCCAUUAGCGAGUUGGGGAGGUAAUGACUCACCAAGGCAACGAUGGGUAGCCGGUCGGAGAGGAUGACCGGCCACACUGGAACUGGAACACGGUCCAGACUCCUACGGGAGGCAGCAGUGGGGAAUAUUGCGCAAUGGGCGAAAGCCUGACGCAGCGACGCCGCGUGAGGGAUGAAGGCCUUCGGGUCGUAAACCUCUGUCAGGAGGGAAGAAUGUUCUAGGGGCUAAUAUCUUCUAGAAGUGACGGUACCUCCAAAGGAAGCACCGGCUAACUCCGUGCCAGCCGCCGCCGUAAGAC
RNAcentral lists this ribosomal RNA (516 nucleotides) under uncultured bacterium. RNAcentral describes it as "bacterial SSU rRNA". It matches the Rfam family "Bacterial small subunit ribosomal RNA", at positions 30 to 526 of the family's 1533-position model. The record is from RNAcentral.